GGGCUCCUUCGGGAGCACCGGCGGACUGCUCAGUAACACGUGGACAACCUACCCUCGGGUGGGGGAUAACCUCGGGAAACUGAGGCUAAUACCCCAUAGGCCUCGGAUACUGGAAGGUUCCGAGACCGAAAGCUCCGGCGCCCGAGGAUGGGUCUGCGGCCUAUCAGGUAGUUGGUGGUGUAAAGGACCACCAAGCCUACGACGGGUACGGGCCCUGAGAGGGGGAGCCCGGAGAUGGACUCUGAGACACGAGUCCAGGCCCUACGGGGCGCAGCAGGCGCGAAACCUUCGCAAUGCGCGAAAGCGCGACGAGGGGAGCCCGAGUGCCCUUCCUUUCGGGAGGGCUUUUCUGGAGCCUAAAAAGCUCCAGGAAUAAGGGCUGGGCAAGACGGGUGCCAGCCGCCGCGGUAAUACCCGCAGCUCGAGUGGUGACCACUAUUAUUGAGCCUAAAGCGUCCGUAGC
Molecule: ribosomal RNA, 463 nt
Filed under: uncultured archaeon
Lineage: Archaea
Description: bacterial SSU rRNA
Rfam family: Archaeal small subunit ribosomal RNA
Source: RNAcentral